GACGAACGCUGGCGGCGCGCCUAACACAUGCAAGUCGAACGAGCGAGAGGAGGUUUACUUUCUCAAGCGAGUGGCGAACGGGUGAGUAACGCGUGAGGAACCUGCCUCAAAGAGGGGGACAACAGUUGGAAACGACUGCUAAUACCGCAUAAGCCCACGACCCGGCAUCGGGUAGAGGGAAAAGGAGCAAUCCGCUUUGAGAUGGCCUCGCGUCCGAUUAGCUAGUUGGUGAGGUAAUGGCCCACCAAGGCGACGAUCGGUAGCCGGACUGAGAGGUUGAACGGCCACAUUGGGACUGAGACACGGCCCAGACUCCUACGGGAGGCAGCAGUGGGGAAUAUUGCACAAUGGGGGAAACCCUGAUGCAGCGACGCCGCGUGGAGGAAGAAGGUCUUCGGAUUGUAAACUCCUGUUGUUGAGGAAGAUAAUGACGGUAUUCAACAAGGAAGUGACGGCUAACUACGUG
RNAcentral lists this ribosomal RNA (466 nucleotides) under uncultured bacterium. RNAcentral describes it as "partial 16S ribosomal RNA". It matches the Rfam family "Bacterial small subunit ribosomal RNA", at positions 28 to 507 of the family's 1533-position model. The record is from RNAcentral.